Molecule: small nuclear RNA, 215 nt
Organism: Scatophagus argus
Lineage: Eukaryota; Metazoa; Chordata; Actinopteri; Scatophagidae
Product: U12 minor spliceosomal RNA
Exons: 1
Source: RefSeq, a predicted model, not a curated record
AUGCCUUAAACUGAUGAGUAAGGAAAAUAAGGACGCAGGGUGACACCCGUGUCCUCGUUAAACUUACGAGACAAACUUUUAUUGAAUUUCCGUUGGGAUCAAUAAAGUAUCUAUCUGUCUAUCUAAAAAACCUUUAGUAACUGAGAAAAUGAUGGAUGUGAUUUUGAGUGACCGAGAUGAGAUAGAGUCUAACUUAUUGUAUCUGCAAUGUGUUU